This 425-nucleotide ribosomal RNA is filed under the name uncultured bacterium. RNAcentral's name for it is "partial 16S ribosomal RNA". It matches the Rfam family "Bacterial small subunit ribosomal RNA", at positions 354 to 796 of the family's 1533-position model. The record is from RNAcentral.
GUGGGGAAUCUUGCGCAAUGGGCGAAAGCCUGACGCAGCCAUGCCGCGUGAAUGAUGAAGGUCUUAGGAUUGUAAAAUUCUUUCACCGGGGACGAUAAUGACGGUACCCGGAGAAGAAGCUCCGGCUAACUUCGUGCCAGCAGCCGCGGUAAUACGAAGGGGGCUAGCGUUGCUCGGAAUUACUGGGCGUAAAGGGCGCGUAGGCGGACAGCUUAGUCAGAGGUGAAAGCCCAGGGCUCAACCUUGGAAUUGCCUUUGAUACUGGCUGUCUUGAGUUUGGGAGAGGUGAGUGGAACUCCGAGUGUAGAGGUGAAAUUCGUAGAUAUUCGGAAGAACACCAGUGGCGAAGGCGACUCACUGGCCCAAUACUGACGCUGAGGCGCGAAAGCGUGGGGGGCAAACAGGAUUAGAUACCCCUGUAGUCC